Molecule: transfer RNA, 77 nt
Filed under: Gammaproteobacteria bacterium
Lineage: Bacteria; Pseudomonadati; Pseudomonadota; Gammaproteobacteria
Also listed under: 1 other name
Description: tRNA-Pro
Rfam family: tRNA
About the family: Transfer RNA (tRNA) molecules are approximately 80 nucleotides in length. Their secondary structure includes four short double-helical elements and three loops (D, anti-codon, and T loops). Further hydrogen bonds mediate the characteristic L-shaped molecular structure. tRNAs have two regions of fundamental functional importance: the anti-codon, which is responsible for specific mRNA codon recognition, and the 3' end, to which the tRNAs corresponding amino acid is attached (by aminoacyl-tRNA synthetases). tRNAs cope with the degeneracy of the genetic code in two manners: having more than one tRNA (with a specific anti-codon) for a particular amino acid; and 'wobble' base-pairing, i.e. permitting non-standard base-pairing at the 3rd anti-codon position.
Source: RNAcentral
CGGGGUGUAGCUCAGCUUGGUAGAGCACUGUCUUCGGGAGGCAGAUGUCGUGCGUUCAAAUCGCGCCAUCCCGACCA